ACGCUCGACACCUACUGGAGGCAGCAGUCGGGAAUAUUGCGCAAUGGAGGAAACUCUGACGCAGUGACGCCGCGUAUAGGAAGAAGGUUUUCGGAUUGUAAACUAUUGUCGUUAGGGAAGAAAAAGGACAGUACCUAAGGAGGAAGCUCCGGCUAACUACGNGCCAGCAGCCGCGGUAAUCUGAGCGGGCUGGCAAGGC
This 199-nucleotide ribosomal RNA is filed under the name uncultured bacterium. Its description in RNAcentral is "partial 16S ribosomal RNA". It matches the Rfam family "Bacterial small subunit ribosomal RNA", at positions 328 to 539 of the family's 1533-position model. The record is from RNAcentral.